Molecule: long non-coding RNA, 602 nt
Organism: Nerophis ophidion (straightnose pipefish)
Lineage: Eukaryota; Metazoa; Chordata; Actinopteri; Syngnathiformes; Syngnathidae
Exons: 5
Source: RefSeq, a predicted model, not a curated record
AUUAGUUCUGACAUUAUAUUUUUGUGUUUUGUUGCAGACACCAACUGUUGGGGUUCUAUCUCAACAUUCUCCAGAUUCAGAUGUGAGCGAUAAACCGACUUCAUCCCUCCAACAGAAACCAACUGUUGAGGUUCCAUCUCAACAUUCUCCGGAUUCAGAUGUGAGCCAUUAACUGACUUCAUCCCUCCAACAGAAACCAACUGUUUGAGGUUCUAUCUCAACAUUCUCUAGAUUCAGAUGACAGCCAUAAACCGACUUCAUCCCUCCAACAGAUUGACAGCAGGACAAAUCGCUGGAAGUGGGUAUGUCUCAAGCUUCUUCCACUUGGUCCACUCCAAAGCGGGCUGCAAAGGGGAAGAAGUGGAAGCAGUUGAAUGACACAUGUUGCAUUUUGUAACUGGCAACAAAGUACCAGGUAAAAAAGAUUGUGAAGCCUGCCUCCAUAAAGAACUAGUAGCUCUACAGGACAGAGAUUGGCUUGCCAUCAAGUACUACAUCCAUAACAGAAUUAUAUUAAAAAAAGGGAAAAAAAAUGUUUUCCCACAUCUUCUGUGGUAGUUUGAGUAUGUUACCAGCAAUUAAAAAAGCAAAAUAAACAGCAA